GAUGGGGAUGCGUUUCAUUAGAUUGUUGGUGAGGUAACGGCUCACCAAGUCUUCGAUGGAUAGGGGUUCUGAGAGGAAGGUCCCCCACACUGGUACUGAGACACGGUCCAGACUCCUACGGGAGGCAGCAGUGAGGAAUAUUGGUCAAUGGGCGUUAGCCUGAACCAGCCAAGUAGCGUGAAGGAUGACUGCCCUAUGGGUUGUAAACUUCUUUUAGAAGGGAAUAAUUUGUGGUACGUGUACCAUAUUGCAUGUACUUUCUGAAUAAGGAUCGGCUAACUCCGUGCCAGCAGCCGCGGUAAUACGGAGGAUUCUAGCGUUAUCCGGAUUUAUUGGGUUUAAAGGGUGCGUAGGCGGGCUUUUAAGUCAGCUGUGAAAGUUUGAGGCUCAACCUUAAAAUUGCAGUUGAUACUGUUAGUCUUGAGUACAGUGGAGGUUAGUGGAAUUCGUGGUGUAGCGGUGAAAUGCUUAGAUAUCACGAAGAACUCCGAUUGCGAAGGCAACUGACUAUACUGUAACUGACGCUGAUGCACGAGAGUGUGGGUAUCAAACAGGAUUAGAUACCCUGGUAGUCCACACAGUAAACGAUGAAUACUCGUUGUUUGCGAUACACCGCAAGCGACCAAGCGAAAGCGUUAAGUAUUCCACCUGGGGAGUACGCCGGCAACGGUGAAACUCAAAGGAAUUGACGGGGGCCCGCACAAGCGGAGGAACAUGUGGUUUAAUUCGAUGAUACGCGAGGAACCUUACCCGGGCUUAAAUUGCACUCGAAUAACGGUGAAAGUCGUUAGCCUUAAUGGCGAGUGUGAAGGUGCUGCAUGGUUGUCGUCAGCUCGUGCCGUGAGGUGUCGGCUUAAGUGCCAUAACGAGCGCAACCCUUACGGGUAGUUACCAUCAGGUUAUGCUGGGGACUCUACUCGGACUGCCGUCGUAAGAUGUGAGGAAGGUGGGGAUGACGUCAAAUCAGCACGGCCCUUACGUCCGGGGCUACACACGUGUUACAAUGGGGGGUACAGUUGGUUGCUACCUGGUGACAGGAUGCUAAUCUGUAAAGCCUCUCUCAGUUCGGAUCGAAGUCUGCAACCCGACUUCGUGAAGCUGGAUUCGCUAGUAAUCGCGCAUCAGCCACGGCGCGGUGAAUACGUUCCCGGGCCUUGUACACACCGCCCGUC
This 1172-nucleotide ribosomal RNA is filed under the name uncultured bacterium. RNAcentral describes it as "bacterial SSU rRNA". It matches the Rfam family "Bacterial small subunit ribosomal RNA", at positions 224 to 1398 of the family's 1533-position model. The record is from RNAcentral.